Oncorhynchus nerka (sockeye salmon) is the source of this 1539-nucleotide long non-coding RNA. RefSeq lists it as uncharacterized. Lineage: Eukaryota; Metazoa; Chordata; Actinopteri; Salmoniformes; Salmonidae. The transcript is spliced from 3 exons. The record is from RefSeq and is a predicted model, not a curated record.
GUAUAAUACUAAAUAGCUUGUAGGGUUGUGUAUUAUCCUAGUUAGGUACAUAUGAAUAUACUACUAUUCGAACCAACUAAUUCAAAUGGUAUUACAUAUAUUAGCUUGCCUGUUAUCCGUAUUUUAUUUAACAAACGUUUUUCUGUUUAAAAAAAAAACUUUAUUACCGCCAUUGUCUGUCGGGCUAUGUGUUGCAUGCAACCAUCAGUUUCACUGCUUCUUAUUUUUUUGGCAUUCUGAUUAGAUGGCAGUCAAUUGAAGUAAACUCUCCUUUCCCAAAACAGAUCAUUUGACACGCAACUGAAUCACAGAAUGAUUUGGUUUAAUUGAUACUGCGUCUUUUAAGACUGUACUCACACGGUCAUAAAAUAAAUAUAUGGGCCCGUCUGUUACUGAAAAGCGUAAGGAAGUUGCAUGGAGCGUUCAAAUGUGAACGCAUAAAACAGACGUUCCCUAAGCAUCUCAUGCUAUUUGGAAAUUACAUAAUUUCCCAUCACAGGAUCAAGGCAAGCAGCAGUCACUGCCACUGGGGGUGCUGUUUCGAGUGCUGCUGACGUAACGAUCGUCCUCUUGCCGUUUUUUUGCUGUCCAGUUCCCUCCAACACUCGUUAUAGUAGGCACACAACUUGGCGUGUCAGUAGACAAUUCGCUGUACCCGUUCAAGUAGACAAAGAAAGUCAAUCGUUGGACACAGUUUUACUGGAGCCUGACCUUUUGAGACGCUGCGGGCAAAACAACUAUUCUUACCACCGAGAUAAAGACCAUUUCAAGUUGGAUAUUCACGCUUUCAAACCUCAAUCCACUUGAACCACAGACACCAAAAUGUCCAUGGACUGUCAGAGAUGAGCGGUAACGUGAAUGAUCCCGGAGCAGCUGGCGCUAGCCCCAGGGAGAGUUCUCUUUUCUUUGUGAAGGGCAGGGCACCCUGGAAUGGGUUCACCUUGAGAGAGGGGCCCUGGAAAUCAUUGCGGUUUCAGCGUCGUCCGACCAAGUUAACCAGAAAGUGAAAGACAACAUCCCUUCAAUUGCAUCAGCCAUCAUAAGAUCCAUCAUGGAGGUGUCUCACACUGUGGAAACAGAGGAGCUGAUGACAUGCCUCCAGAUCUACACUGCAUAUUGCCCCUGGACACAAGUACCAGGCUGAGGACCCAGUGAGGCAAUUGUGCAUUGAGUUUCUUUCAUAGAUUACUUUUACUACAAUAACAGCCAUAUUGUAUUAUUUUCUCUUUAAAUUAGAAGCAGUUUUCUUAAAAUGCUUAACAUUCUGAAAGCUGAAAUCAAAAUGUUGACUGUGGCAACAAGCUAUCAGUACCUCAAAUGUUUUUAUAUUCUACCUUAUAACCCACUCCAAGUAUUAUUCAGACUUAUGUUAUUUUAUCAAAUGUGACACUAAAGAAUGUGAAUAUUACCCUUUUUCAUGAUACUCAAAUAAGAGCAAGUAUCAGAAUUCAAUGAAGGACGAUGUUAGGGUGGGGGAAGGAUAUUGUUAUGUCACCGUUUUGGAAAUAUUGAUUAUAACAAUUAAACCGUUUGAUUUGA